GAAAUAAUUAUUUAUGAAGUUACUGGGUGGUUAGAAAUAAGUUUUACAAUAUUUUUCGCAGAAUAAAUAACUCAUAUUUCAGAAAUUUAUAGUUUUUGUUCUAACAUAUUAUAUGCUCAUGCACAUCUUGUGACUUGUUCUUCAUUUUCAUCAUUUUAAGUCCCUGUACACAGUCUCCAAAAACGUCAAAUAAAGAAAACUUGAACCCCAGAGAUAUGCCGUCCAUUAUGACUAGUGAAAAUGAAAUUAUGAAUCGCCUCAAUACUACUGAAGGUAUUAUGAAGGAUAUUUUGAGACGAUUGCAAAAUAUUGUGCAUUUGUGUGAGACGGCACAAAAUGUGCCAGAAACAGAUCAAAAUAUUACAGAAUCGAGAUUCGAGUUAGAAAUCCUCGAAAAUCUGGAGCAACUUCAAUAAUUUGAGCGAAAGCUUCAGGACAUCCAG
Long non-coding RNA from Coccinella septempunctata (seven-spotted ladybird), 443 nucleotides. RefSeq lists it as uncharacterized. The record is from RefSeq and is a predicted model, not a curated record. The transcript is spliced from 3 exons. NCBI's taxonomy places the organism in Eukaryota, Metazoa, Arthropoda, Insecta, Coleoptera, Coccinellidae.